RNAcentral lists this ribosomal RNA (254 nucleotides) under uncultured bacterium. Its description in RNAcentral is "partial 16S ribosomal RNA". It matches the Rfam family "Bacterial small subunit ribosomal RNA", at positions 524 to 776 of the family's 1533-position model. The record is from RNAcentral.
CACGUAGGCACCAAGCGUUGUCCGGAUUUAUUGGGCGUAAAGAGCUCGUAGGCGGUUCAGUAAGUCAGGUGUGAAAUCUUUGGCUUAACCGAAGUCGCAUGCACUUGAUACUGAGGAUCUUGAGUUCGGGAGAGGUGAGUGGAACUGCGAGUGUAGAGGUGAAAUUCGUAGAUAUUCGCAAGAACACCAGUGGCGAAGGCGGCUCACUGGCCCGAUACUGACGCUGAGGCACGAAAGCGUGGGGAGCAAACAGG